CUAUCUGGCAGUACAGAGCUAGGCACCGCGAGCACGCGACGCUUUUAAAAAAGAAAAAUCAAUUUUGACAUUUUGCCGCGCGGCAUUUUCGUACGCCGAACAUUUUCACGCGCCAAUUUCUAAACUUUUUAAAAGGUAUUUUUCAGUGAACUUUCUAUCGUGAUAUUUUUCUGUUAUUAAAAUAUUAGUGUGAGGUGUGUUGCUGAACGAAAGUAAAAGGAGGUGAAACGCUUAUUUGUAAUUUGACCAGCCAUGCGUUCACAUUGAGUGUCCCCUACACUAUCCAACAUGUCGGGUCGGGCAGCCGCGGUGUUGGUCGAGCGCGCCAACAAGUCGUACGGCCGACAAGACAAGCCCGACCACAAGCCUGUGCUUACACACCUCGAUAUGACCGUCGAGAAAGGGAUCAUUUACGGCCUGCUAGGUCCCUCAGGGUGCGGUAAGACAACCUUACUGUCCUGCAUCGUGGGUCGACGCAAGCUGGACAGCGGCAACAUCUGGGUGCUGGGGGGACAACCUGGAGAGAAGGGAAGCGGUGUACCUGGACCCAGGGUCGGGUAUAUGCCACAGGACAUAGCCCUAGUGGGAGAAUUCACAGUUCGCGAUGCAGUCUACUACUUCGGGCGGAUUUACGGCAUGAAAAUGCCCAAACUGGCCGAACGGUUCGACUUCCUGAGCGACCUGCUAGAGUUACCGAGUGGCGGUAGAUUUGUGAAGAACCUCUCUGGGGGACAGCAGCGAAGGGUGUCCCUGGCCGCAGCACUAGUCCACGAACCCGAGCUACUGAUUUUGGACGAGCCUACCGUCGGUUUGGACCCUGUUUUACGGGAACGUAUCUGGGAAUUCCUAGCUGAGUUAGCGCGAGGAGGGACUACUGUCAUCAUCACCACACACUACAUUGACGAAACCAAACAAGCACACAAGAUCGGGCUCCUCAGGGACGGACAACUACUAGCGGAGGACUCCCCUGAGGGGAUCCUGAGGAAGUUCGACUGCGACACGUUGGAGGAAGCGUUCCUCAAGCUGGCGUUACGGCAGCAUCAGCUACCUCGACGGAGAUCCACUCUAACCGGGUCCCCUGAUGUCAUCCCCGAGAGUCGAAUCCCGGCCGUGGAGAGUCGCUACCAGUCCAGCGAAUCAUUCAACGUAGUCACCAGCAGUACUGAUGUUUUAACCAAAAAAGGCGAACCAAAACAUUGUAGGACGAGCAGAGCGAAAUCGAGGUAUAAGGCUGUGUUUAUAAAGAGUAUACAACAGUUCUCUAGGCAUCCAGGAGGUUUAAUAUUCUCCAUUCUAUUCCCCAUCAUCCAAGUGGUGGCGUUUUUCGCUGCGGUGGGGCACGACCCGCGGGACUUGAAGCUCGCGGUGGUCAACGACGAAGCAGCCUUCUCACCAUAUGGUCUGGACAUCUGCAAGAACACGAGCCUACGCGUGGUGACGCUGGUGAACGAGGAUACCUGCGACACCUACAUGCUGAGCUGCUGGUUCCUCGAGGAGAUGGAGAAACGACAGAUAUAUCAGAUACCAUACAACACGACAGCCGAAGCCAAGCAAGCCGUGGUGAAGGGCAGACUGUACGGAGCCCUGCACUUCAACACCAACUUCAGCGAGGCGCUGGCCACGAGGGUGCGGGAGGGACACGUGGAAGACGACGUCAUCGCCGGCAGCACCAUCAGCGUCUGGCUCGAUAUGACAAAUCAUCAGAUCUCCCACUUCCUCAAAUCAUCGCUCCACAAAGCGUACGAGAGCUUCACGAAGCGAGCCAUGAAAGCGUGCAACCGACACGAAAACUUAGUACAGAUUCCAGUGCACUUCCAAGAGCCGAUCUACGGUGAGAUGAACACUCAGAUGGUUGGAUACAUGGCGCCCGGGAUUAUGAUCACCAUAAUCUUCUUCCUUCCGGCCAUCGUGACGUCCAACCUGAUGAUAGCGGACCGGCUGGAGGGCGUCUGGGAGCGGAGCGCCGUGGCCGGGGUCAAACCCAAGGAGAUGCUCUACGUUCACAUCACGCUGCAGACCGCUGUCAUAUUUAUACAAACUCUGGAAAUGAUAGCCCUAGCAUUCGGCGGGUACGGGCUUCCCACGCGUGGGUCGCUGGUCACCAGUGGGACUCUGCUCUUCCUGCAGGGGCUGAGUGGGAUGUGCUACGGGUUCCUCCUGUCCAUAUACUGUAACAGCUACACUCUUGCCUUCUUCGUCGCCACCGGCAGUUUCUACCCCAUGAUAUUAUUGUGUGGGAUCCUCUGGCCACUCGAAGCAAUGUCCGACGGUCUCCGGUUCAUCGCCCUGACACUACCAUUCACCAUUCCAUCUCGGUCCCUGAGAGAUGUCAUGGAGAAAGGGUACACCAUCACCGACCCCUCAGUCUACAAUGGAUUCCUAGUUACUGUAGCUUGGAUUGUCAUCACCCUAGCCUUAUGCCUGCUUAGGUUGAAGUAUAAAAAGACUUAGGAACUGACAAAUUGUGAUGUAAAUAAAUAGUAUUUAGUUAGUAUUUUUAAAGUCACAUAAUACAGAGUGUUACUGACAUCAUAAUGAAUACUAAGGGGGAUGAUUCAGACCAUGAUUCUGGGUUGAUAUCAAGUGGAAUUUCCUGUCAGAAAAUUCGUGGUUUUUUACGGCUAAUAGCCGGGCCGGGGGUGCUUCGGAGGGGACGUUAAGCCGUUGGUCCCGAUUACUAUUUACUGAUGUAAGUAAGUAAUCGUUACGUGAGCCAUGUCAGGGGCCUUUGGCGGCUCAAUCAUAACCCUGACACCAGGGUUGAUGAGGCUGGUAUUCCACCUCACAACCCACACGAUAAGAAGCCGGGACCAACAGCUUAACGUGCCCUCCGAAACACGGGAUCAUCAUGCUUUUUCAGUCAAUCAGGUAAUUCAAGUCUGAAAAGUCCUUGCCAGACAAAGGACUAAGUGAUUUCGACAAUGUCCCCAUCAGGAAUCGAACCUGGACCUCCAGAUCGUAAGCCUAACGCUCUAAAUGGUAUCACGGUUAAAUGAGGGCCAAUUUGGCCUCCUGUAUAAACAACGAAACUGUGUAUGUAGACAGCGAAACUAUUUUCUACGUUUUGUUAGUUUUGAGCUAUGAAAUAGCUCCCUGGGUAGCCUGUAUAUAGCUUUUGGUAUUAUAUUAUCGUCUCUCUCGGGUUUUACAAUUUUAUACCGCGUUUAGGUAAUGUUUAUUAUACAUUUUUAUAUUUUUUAAAGGUGUUUAUAUUAUGUAAGGCCUUGGAUUGGCAGUAUAUUACUGCCAAGCCAUUGUGUUAGGAAAUAAUUAUAAAAAUGUCAAGCUACGUAUGGAAUUUAUUUUUAUGUAGGGCUAAAAGUUAGGUAGGAUAAUAAAUGUUUAAGUAUAGGGAGAAAAUUGUAUAAUUAUGCUAUGGCAACACUGAGUGACGUUGGAUUAUUCCCAUUAGUCCCCUUUAGCAAUGUCCCCCGGGGUAUGGCUGGAGUAUAUCUUGUAUCUUUUAAGGCCCUGCGCAGACGACAGACUAUCCGUGACGCACUUUUUAGUCUGUGAAAAUAUAACCUAUGCAAUUAUAUGCAGUAACGCGCCGGACAUUUUUCGCGUCGUGUGCGUUACUGCAUAUAAUUGCAUAGGUUAUAUUAUCACAGACUAAAAAGUGCGUCACGGAUAGUCUGUCGUCUGCGCAGGGCCUAAUUCUAUUACCUACUUUUAUUUAUCUGUUUUCUCCAGACCAUCACGAAAAAAUGCUGUACAUUUUUUUUAUCUACCCUAACCCUUUUUAAUCUAACCUAAUCCUUUCUUAUCAAACUGAAGUUUCAGCAUUUUCGGUCUAACCUAACUUUUUAGUUAAGCAAGAUUAAGAAGGGGUUGGGUUAGACCUAAAAGGGUUAGGUUAGUUAAAAAAAGAGUUGGGUUAGAUCAAAAAAAGGUUAGGUUAGAUCAAAAAAGGGUUAGGUUGGAUCAAAAAAGAUUAUAUGGGAUAAAGGGUUACUUUAAAUCAAAAGAGGGUUACGUUAGAUCAAAAAAGGGGUAGGGUAGAUAAAAAAUGAGUGUGUAAUUUGUAUCGUACUUUUUGCAUGUUGCUCGAGCAAAUAGUUUUAUGUAGUAGAAGACAGAAUAGGUAUUCCAUACAAGUCGUGAUGGACGCCUGGGAAGGGGUCGUAGCAAUUGUCGUAGCAAGUGACAAGCGGGAACAAAAUUCCCAGUUGUCACCACGGGGGACAGCGGUAAAGGGGACUGACUACUGGGAAUAAUCAAUAAUGUUAAUGUGGCCUCAUUACUGUUUUAAAUGUACGCCAUUUGUAGCUUAUUAUUAAAGAAUAUUUAGCAUUUCUCAAAUUCGGCUUGGAUUGCCGAAUGGUUCGAGACAUUUGCCGUACUCUAAGGGUCUUGUGAUACACGUUAUUGUGAUUUGUGGGUAUUUAUGAAUAAAGAGUUUACAAAAG
RNAcentral lists this unclassified non-coding RNA (4409 nucleotides) under Pectinophora gossypiella (pink bollworm). RNAcentral describes it as "aBC transporter G family member 20-like". The record is from RNAcentral. Lineage: Eukaryota; Metazoa; Arthropoda; Insecta; Lepidoptera; Gelechiidae.